AGGGAAUCUUCCACAAUGGACGCAAGUCUGAUGGAGCAACGCCGCGUGAGUGAAGAAGGUCUUCGGAUCGUAAAGCUCUGUUGUUGGUGAAGAAGGAUAGAGGCAGUAACUGGUCUUUAUUUGACGGUAAUCAACCAGAAAGUCACGGCUAACUACGUGCCAGCAGCCGCGGUAAUACGUAGGUGGCAAGCGUUGUCCGGAUUUAUUGGGCGUAAAGCGAGCGCAGGCGGAAUGAUAAGUCUGAUGUGAAAGCCCACGGCUCAACCGUGGAACUGCAUCGGAAACUGUCAUUCUUGAGUGCAGAAGAGGAGAGUGGAACUCCAUGUGUAGCGGUGGAAUGCGUAGAUAUAUGGAAGAACACCAGUAGCGAAGGCGGCUCUCUGGUCUGCAACUGACGCUGAGGCUCGAAAGCAUGGGUAGCGAACAGGAUUAGAUACCCUGGUAGUCC
Molecule: ribosomal RNA, 448 nt
Filed under: uncultured bacterium
Lineage: Bacteria
Description: partial 16S ribosomal RNA
Rfam family: Bacterial small subunit ribosomal RNA
Source: RNAcentral